Molecule: long non-coding RNA, 648 nt
Organism: Mustela erminea (ermine)
Lineage: Eukaryota; Metazoa; Chordata; Mammalia; Carnivora; Mustelidae
Exons: 4
Source: RefSeq, a predicted model, not a curated record
UGGAGGAGUGGUCCAUGGUGGCCUCUCUUGCAUGAACAUCAUCCUACCAGCGCCUCAAUUCAUGGGAAGUUCUGAUUAUGAAAAGGGUGUUUUGUUCCACAAAGUAGGACCUUCAGGGAUUUUGGAACCAACAGCCCGCAUGCCUUCUGGCACUCAGCCAUCCAGAGUCAGAGACGGGGGUUCCAGAUUUUAGGAACAGCUCUGCCACCAGCUCACUGACAAACACUUCCCGGCCUCUUUCAUUAACUGGCUGAUUGAAAUUGCAGAGACCCAGUGGUCACCCUAUCUGUAGGAUCAGCGUGGCACCCCUGCCGGGAGUAUGCACCACCUUUGUGAACAACACGAGAGGUCCUGUGGGCCUGGAGCAGAACUGCGUGGAACCAGAUGGGGAGACAACGAAGGGAGACGGAGGGAAGCAGAGUGGCCUUUGGUGUUCUCCCCAAAGUCUCUGCGGUGCCCCCCACACCUGGUGUCCUUGUCCGGCGAUGAACAGCCCUGGGAGGUGGCCCGUUGCCAAAGAAUCUGGAGUGGGAGGGCUGUUGGUUCUUUCAGACAACAAACACAGUCAGGUCACGUUUGAUGUGAAUCUGAUUUAUGCAAAUAUGGAACAAUGUCCUGAGAAACAUUAAUGAAGUUUCACUUUGCGAC